Leopardus geoffroyi (Geoffroy's cat) is the source of this 970-nucleotide non-coding RNA. NCBI's taxonomy places the organism in Eukaryota, Metazoa, Chordata, Mammalia, Carnivora, Felidae. The record is from the annotation of a RefSeq genome assembly.
AUGGCGUCGUGGGUGAGUGGUCGCGGGGUCGGGAGUGAAGGCGGCGGGUCCCGGGGCUGGUCCCGCCUGCGCACCCCCUGGGCACCCGCUGGGCGCCCGCCGGGCUCCCCGCGCCGGCCCGGGCUGCGAGGCGGGGUGGGCGCUGCUGGGUUUGCGUGCGGGGCUGGACCUCUGUGCUCCUACGAGCGCUAUUUCGGCCCCGGCACCAGACUCACCGUCUUAGAGGACCUCAAAAAGGUGAGCCCUCCCAAGGUCACAGUGUUUGAACCAUCAGAAGCAGAGAUCUCCCGGACCCUGAAGGCCACACUCGUGUGCCUGGCCACAGGCUUCUACCCCGACCACGUGGAGCUGAGCUGGUGGGUGAACGGGAAGGAGGUGCGCGACGGGGUCAGCACGGACCCUGAGCCCUACAAGGAACAGUCCGGCGCGAAUGGCUCCAGCUACUGUCUGAGCAGCCGGCUGAGGGUCUCCGCCACCUUCUGGCACAACCCUCGGAACCACUUCCGCUGCCAGGUCCAGUUCCACGGGCUCGGGAAGGAUGACCAGUGGGACUACCCCGAGGCCAAACCCGUCACCCAGAACGUCAGUGCCGACACCUGGGGCAGAGCAGACUGUGGCUUCACUUCGGCGUCCUACCAGCAGGGGGUCCUGUCGGCCACCAUCCUCUAUGAGAUCCUGCUGGGGAAGGCCACCCUGUAUGCCAUCCUGGUCAGCGUCCUCGUGCUGAUGGCCAAGGUCAAGAGAAAGGAUUCCUGAGGCCAGCUCCAAAAGCGUAUCCUGAGUUCAUAAUCCUCACGCCGGAUUCUCCUUUACAUGCUUCCAGCCUGUGUUUCUAAAAGCGUGAUUCUCUCUCCGCCUCUUAUCUCCUUCCUGCCGGGUUAUCUGUCCCUUCGCCCCACUUCCCUGUGGAUUGAGCUCCUCAGCCCUGACACUGAAUGAGACUAAAACAAUAAAAAGCAUCGUGCCAGGC